GUAGGUGGCAAGCGUUGUCCGGAAUUAUUGGGCGUAAAGCGCGCAGGCGGUUCUUUAAGUCUGAUGUGAAAGCCCACGGCUCAACCGUGGAGGGUCAUUGGAAACUGGAGAACUUGAGUACAGAAGAGGAAAGCGGAAUUCCACGUGUAGCGGUGAAAUGCGUAGAGAUGUGGAGGAACACCAGUGGCGAAGGCGGCUUUCUGGUCUGUAACUGACGCUGAGGCGCGAAAGCGGGGGAGCAAACAGGGAUUAGAUACCCUGGUAGUCCACGCCGUAAACGAUGAGUGCUAAGUGUUAGGGGGUUUCCCGCCCCUUAGUGCUGCAGCUAACGCAUUAAGCACUCCGCCUGGGGAGUACGGCCGCAAGGCUG
This 370-nucleotide ribosomal RNA is filed under the name uncultured organism. RNAcentral describes it as "partial 16S ribosomal RNA". It matches the Rfam family "Bacterial small subunit ribosomal RNA", at positions 527 to 896 of the family's 1533-position model. The record is from RNAcentral.